CUCCGAUGAUGUAGAACUCCCAUGCAUAGGAAGUGCCGUAUGACGCUUCGCAAACGCAGCGGUUCC
This 66-nucleotide small nucleolar RNA is filed under the name Genlisea aurea. RNAcentral describes it as "Small nucleolar RNA U49". It matches the Rfam family "Small nucleolar RNA U49". Lineage: Eukaryota; Viridiplantae; Streptophyta; Magnoliopsida; Lamiales; Lentibulariaceae. The record is from Rfam by way of RNAcentral.